RNAcentral lists this ribosomal RNA (460 nucleotides) under uncultured bacterium. RNAcentral describes it as "partial 16S ribosomal RNA". It matches the Rfam family "Bacterial small subunit ribosomal RNA", at positions 338 to 795 of the family's 1533-position model. The record is from RNAcentral.
CCUACGGGAGGCGGCAGUGAGGAAUAUUGGUCAAUGGACGAGAGUCUGAACCAGCCAAGUAGCGUGAAGGAUGACUGCCCUAUGAGUUGUAAACUUCUUUUAUAAAGGAAUAAAACGAGGCACGUGUGCCUUUUUGCAUGUACUGUAUGAAUAAGGAUCGGCUAACUCCGUGCCAGCAGCCGCGGUAAUACGGAGGAUCCGAGCGUUAUCCGGAUUUAUUGGGUUUAAAGGGAGCGUAGACGGGUUGUUAAGUCAGUUGUGAAAGUUUGCGGCUCAACCGUAAAAUUGCAAGUGAUACUGGUAGUCUUGAGUACAGUUGAGGUAGGCGGAAUUCGUGGUGUAGCGGUGAAAUGCUUAGAGAUCACGAAGAACCCCGAUUGCGAAGGCAGCUUACUAAGCUGUGACUGACAUUGAUGCUCGAAAGUGUGGGUAUCAAACAGGAUUAGAUACCCUAGUAGUC